GAACCCUUGGCGCAGCGGUAGCGCGUGAGAUUCCAGUGUAAUCCUCCUUGGGAUUCGCCGGUUUCCUCAAGGUCAUCCGUUCAAAUCGGGUAGGGUUCA
This is a non-coding RNA of Trametes punicea, 99 nucleotides long. Lineage: Eukaryota; Fungi; Basidiomycota; Agaricomycetes; Polyporales; Polyporaceae. The record is from the annotation of a GenBank genome assembly.